Molecule: ribosomal RNA, 402 nt
Filed under: uncultured bacterium
Lineage: Bacteria
Description: bacterial SSU rRNA
Rfam family: Bacterial small subunit ribosomal RNA
Source: RNAcentral
UCGGGAAUUUUGGGCAAUGGGCGAAAGCCUGACCCAGCAACGCCGCGUGAGGGAUGAAGUAUUUCGGUAUGUAAACCUCGAAAGAAUGGGAAGAAUAAAUGACGGUACCAUUUAUAAGCUCCGGCUAACUACGUGCCAGCAGCCGCGGUAAUACGUAGGGAGCAAGCGUUGUUCGGAUUUACUGGGCGUAAAGGGCGCGUAGGCGGCGCGGUAAGUCACUUGUGAAAUCUCUGAGCUUAACUCAGAACGGCCAAGUGAUACUGCUGUGCUAGAGUGCGGAAGAGGCAACCGGAAUUCUUGGUGUAGCGGUGAAAUGCGUAGAUAUCAAGAGGAACACCUGAGGCGAAGGCGGGUUGCUGAGCCGACACUGACGCUGAUGCGCGAAAGCCAGGGGAGCAAACG